GGGCUCGUGGUGAAACUGGUAGACACGCAGGAUUUAGGUUCCUGUAUCGCGAGAUGUGAGGGUUCGAGUCCCUCCGGGCCCACCA
This 85-nucleotide transfer RNA is filed under the name Kiritimatiellia bacterium. Its description in RNAcentral is "Kiritimatiellae bacterium (gut metagenome) tRNA-Leu". It matches the Rfam family "tRNA". From Rfam's summary of the family: Transfer RNA (tRNA) molecules are approximately 80 nucleotides in length. Lineage: Bacteria; Pseudomonadati; Kiritimatiellota; Kiritimatiellia. The record is from RNAcentral.